UUGACAGCUGUGGAGACUGAAGUUCUCUUUUUAAUCAAGGGACAGGUAUGGCAUGGCAGCACCAGUACAGCCUUCCUCAGCACUGCCCUGGACUCAAGCUCUCUUGGGCUACUGGAGAGGUUCCCAGUAGGGUUGAGUGGUUCACUCACCUUGCUCUUUUGUUGGCCUCU
Molecule: small RNA, 170 nt
Filed under: Chrysemys picta bellii (western painted turtle)
Lineage: Eukaryota; Metazoa; Chordata; Testudines; Emydidae
Description: TUC338 (ENSCPBG00000011428.1)
Source: RNAcentral